CACAUCGUACAACAGGACGAUGUACACAUUUUUGAGUGCCU
RNAcentral lists this ribosomal RNA (41 nucleotides) under Culex coronator. Its description in RNAcentral is "partial 5.8S ribosomal RNA". Lineage: Eukaryota; Metazoa; Arthropoda; Insecta; Diptera; Culicidae. The record is from RNAcentral.